AACGCGAAGAACCUUACCAGGUCUUGACAUCCCUCUGACCGUCCUAGAGAUAGGGCUUUCCUUCGGGACAGAGGAGACAGGUGGUGCAUGGUUGUCGUCAGCUCGUGUCGUGAGAUGUUGGGUUAAGUCCCGCAACGAGCGCAACCCUUGAUCUUAGUUGCCAGCACUUCGGGUGGGCACUCUAAGGUGACUGCCGGUGACAAACCGGAGGAAGGUGGGGAUGACGUCAAAUCAUCAUGCCCCUUAUGACCUGGGCUACACACGUACUACAAUGGCCGGUACAACGGGCUGUGAAGCCGCGAGGCGGAACGAAUCCUAAAAAGCCGGUCUCAGUUCGGAUUGCAGGCUGCAACUCGCCUGCAUGAAGUCGGAAUUGCUAGUAAUCGCGGAUCAGCAUGCCGCGGUGAAUACGUUCCCGGGCCUUGUACACACCG
Molecule: ribosomal RNA, 434 nt
Filed under: uncultured bacterium
Lineage: Bacteria
Description: bacterial SSU rRNA
Rfam family: Bacterial small subunit ribosomal RNA
Source: RNAcentral